CCUACGGGAGGCAGCAGUGAGGAAUAUUGGUCAAUGGACGCGAGUCUGAACCAGCCAAGUAGCGUGAAGGAUGACUGCCCUAUGGGUUGUAAACUUCUUUUAUAUGGGAAUAAAAUGUUUCACGUGUGGGAUUUUGUAUGUACCAUAUGAGUAAGGAUCGGCGAACUCCGUGCCAGCAGCCGCGGUACUACGGAGGAUGCGAGCGUUAUCCGGAUUUAUUGGGUUUAAAGGGAGCGUAGGUGGAUUGUUAAGUCAGUUGUGAAAGUUUGCGGCUCAACCGUAAAAUUGCAGUUGACACUGGCAGGCUUGAGUACAGUAGAGGUGGGUGGAAUUCGUGGUGUAGCGGUGAAAUGCGUAGAGAUCACGAAGAACUCCGAUUGCGAAGGCAGGUCACUGGACUGCAACUGACACUGAGGCUCGAAAGUGUGGGUAGCAAACAGGAUUAGAUACCCUAGUAGUC
This 460-nucleotide ribosomal RNA is filed under the name uncultured bacterium. RNAcentral's name for it is "partial 16S ribosomal RNA". It matches the Rfam family "Bacterial small subunit ribosomal RNA", at positions 338 to 795 of the family's 1533-position model. The record is from RNAcentral.